Molecule: long non-coding RNA, 432 nt
Filed under: Mytilus galloprovincialis (Mediterranean mussel)
Lineage: Eukaryota; Metazoa; Mollusca; Bivalvia; Mytilida; Mytilidae
Source: RNAcentral
GGUUUCUAUACAAAAAGAUAUAAAUAAGGGAGAUAAUUUUUUACUUCCGGUUUAAAAUAUGUUACUUCCGGUAAUUUUUUAUUGUUUACUUGACACUGAUUCCAAAAAUAUAUGGUUCUAUAUACUUUUUCAUUAAUUAAGUACAAAAUAUAGCUACUUCCGGUUUACAAAAGGUCACUUCCGGUUGUCUUUUUCUAGAUCACAUUGCUUGCAACCUAAUUUAAAAAGUCCCAUGUCUUGAUCAUGUAUACAUAUGAGGUAAAAGCAAAGGUCAAAAUCUAGAACGUUACAUUUACCUAUGACCUUGAGCUCAAUUUCGAGGUCAUCAACCAAGGACCUCAAAUCAAAAGACUCUAGGCCUCUACUAUAUAUAGUUAAUGAGUUGUAUUACCUUACAACUAAUAUUAGAUAUAAAAGGGGGCAAAACUGGCA